GUGGAAUUUCUUGUUCCUGUGGUUAGGAGGCUGGGCAAAAAAAAAAUAUGAUCAUCACAAUAAUAUUAGGUCUUGGAACCAUGACUUAUUACAUAAUCAGUUUAUUCACUCUACAUAAAGCAGCGGACUCACAAAGACACAUGCAUAUUGGAUACUACAUUAUAUGGAAGGCGUGCAUGCAUCCGUAACCGAUCACACCCUUAGCUGCACCUGGGGCUCUGCACGAAGUUGCUAACCGGAAAUGACUGGUCGAACGUGGCUGCAUGCUCACUACCAGUAAACCUCAGCUUGUCACCGACGCGUUGAACCGUGUGGAAUGCGAGAAAAUCCCACUCAAAUUGGAUCCUCACGCCACCCAGUUGAGUUAUGGAUCCGGGCCGGAUAACACCACUGACUAUGCUGUCAAACCGAAUCUUGUGUGAUCCACCGGCAACCGUAACAUUGAAGUCGCAGGAGGCGGGGAGUGUCACCUCAACGGCGCCCCCAUGGUUCACGUACGACUUCACACCCUGAGGCAGGAGAGCCCGCGGGAAGUUGUUUUUCUCCAAAAGGUCGUACGCUGUGUCGGAGGUGGCUGCUUGGAGGACAGAAGCCAGGAAGACGAUGAGGAGCAGAUGCUGGAUGGCCAUGGCUAGCUAACUGUUGUUGCUUACAAAUUGUAUCAAGGAAUAUGAGGAACUGGGAAGUAUGUGUAGACUGAGGCCCUGGCCACGUAUUAUAUAUGCUGCCCAACGAAAUCAAAGUCAAUCGUACUUUAAUUGCAUUUAUUUUGUUCCUGAUUAUCACUCCAUCAACCACCUCAUCAAAUAUGCUAAAAAUAUCAUCCCAUUAAAUCAUAUUUAUUUCUGGCCUAGAACAUUCUAUAGUUAAUGGUUAUGCCAAAACGUUCCUCAAAUAUUCAUAAUCAAUACGUACCAUAAAAUGAGACUGAAAUUUCAGAGCAACAUUCAUUUACGUACUUCACAGCCGACAUAUGAAACAUAUGCAAAAACCUAAAAAUGAAUCAAGGGGAAACAUCAACAUCCAAACAGUUUGAUCCUUGAUGUUGGCUUGGGUACCAAUGAGGCUUCUCUUCUCUUCAAAUAAUGUUGUGCAGUGCAACUAAAACAUAAAACACCCGCAAGAAAGAAAUAUUUCAUUUAGAUAUACUUGAGUUUUACAUGAGUAUGCGGUGCAAUAGAAUGAUUAUCUCCCAUUGUGCAGAUCAUCUCUUUCAGGAUGCCUACUCAGGCCAGCACAGACUCAUACAUGACAUCUCCGUGAAAGUUUCCACAAUGUUAUAGCAUGAACUCCCAGACCGUGAGAGAGGCUCAGUACCCAUAUCCAAAAUGAAGAGUGCGGAGGAGCAGGUGCCUACCCCUCCACCUUCCACUUCUCUUAAAAUUUUCCUGUGCAAUGCAACUAAACUAAAAAACAACUCCAAGCAAUAUAUUCAAUUUAUAUCUUGUUGGGUUAUGAUACGUCUCCAACGUAUUUAUAUAUUUUUUAUUGUUCCAUGCUAUUAUAAUUGUUGGGUCAUGAGCCGAAAGCAAGCCAUCGAACAUGCCAGUGUUGGAUUGGAUGAGAUUGUCGACCGCCUGAAGGAGGUUCUCAUCGUGAUCCUUGAAGAGCCGGUCCAGACCUACGGUGAAAUACGCUCGUUGAAGCGCGUACACGCCACACCUUUCCUCGGACGGCUUGUCCAUCGCCUCCGCUCACGGCCGAUCACGCCACCGCGUCCCGUGAUGGUGUCACGGCAACUCCAGGACCACUUAAUCUUAUACCAAUUGUGAGCAACUCACCUGAUCGAGAGGAAUUGCUAGGGAUUAGAAUUCGAAAUUGCGGAAAUUGGUUUGUUAGCUAGACGUCCGUCCACCCUCACAGCUACACUACACCGCAUGUUGCCAUCAUCCAAAUCCCAGCCAGGAGAUAGGAGAGAAGUAUAAUGCCUACUAGCUUAGCCCGCGCGGCAACACGCCGCGCCCAUCGAUCAGUCACGACUAUGUAGACUAUGGUCCAAGCAAUAGAGUAAUAAGUAGUUAUGAUGAAAUUUGUUGCAUAACUUGAGGCUUUUUAGCAAAUUCUUUUGUUCACAACAAUUUAUAGACACAAAUAUCUAUCUUUCAUGGAAACUUUUAGUUUAUUUUGUACAUAGCAAGGGUCUGUCCACCAAGUUGAAACAAAUACACAACAUGACCAAAAGUAAGGAACUUCGGAACAGUGCUUUCGUAGCUAAAAUUUAAUAAUUUUUCACAUUUCAUAACAUAAAUACUUAACUAAAACUUACAUCUGAUCUGAAGUACAACCAUUGAGACAGUAAAAAAACCACUAUUUUGAUCAUCACAAAAAAAUUAAUGUGCAUUUCAUGGAAAAAGUUUAGAGACAAAAUAAUUUAGCCAAGAGAAAAACUAUUUCAGAUCACAAAAGGCGCUCCAAAGAGUAAUUGUGUAUAUUAUUCAAAAGAACACUUUGUUACCUUCAGGCUUUAAUUAGCCCCAUUGUAUCUUGUGGAAUCAUGCAGUGAUACAAAUUCUUACCAUAAACAAAAAAAUUAAGCAGCUCUUAAUAUAGAAACAACCAUAUCACUCUGAAUCAAGGGAGCAUGAUGCGAUGAACUGAUGACGGGGAAUCUAUGGUAGCAUAUACCCAGGAAACAGUGUUCAUGGAAACUUUGUUAAACAACCCCUUGCUCAGCUUAAAAGUAUUCCUUCCUGGGUCUCCACUGAAACAAAACAAUAUUUAUACACCCACAGGUGAGAACAAUAUGAGAUUGUUUGAUAUAAAACCAACAAUGCUUGAACAUACUUGUUUCUCUACCUCACCAUGUGGCAACCAGAAAAAGCUUUAACAAAUUAAAAACCACUUGCAAAGUGAAGUUGAGAGCCUUCACUUAUUUCUCAAAAUGGAAGGAGGAAGGGGCCUUAAUUUGUCCCAGUAACCCCAUGAAUAUAAUUAGCCAAAUAUGUGGCAUUUCAUCUUAUUACAUGGUCAUGCUGAAGGAGGGAACAUCAAUAAAAUUAGGCAUAAGAAAUCCAUCAAAUGAAGAGAGAUGUACUUAGAAAUAAGAAUAACAAACAUUCUCAGAUACUGCUUUCUGCCACGGAUGGCUCUCCUUCUUCGGAUGCUGCUUUUUAUCGGUCUGUCGUUGGUGCUCUUCAGUACCUUACUCUGACUCGACCGGAGAUCCAGUAUGCCGUGCAACAUGUGUGUCUUCAUAUGCAUGCUCCUCGAGACAUUCACUGGGCUGCCGUCAAGCGGAUUCUCCGCUAUAUCUGUGGCACUAUGGAUCUUGGCGUCACGCUUCACGCCUCCGCCGACACCGCCCUGCGUACUCCGAUGCAGACUGGGCGGGCUGCCCUGACACUCGUCGUUCCACUUCGGGCUACUGUGUCUACCUUGGACCCUCACUUAUCUCGUGGUCGUCCAAGCGGCAGCCUACGGUCUCUCGUUCUAGUGCUGAGGCUGAGUAUCGUGCGGUGGCCAACGCCGUCGCCGAGUGUUCGUGGCUUCGCCAGCUGCUUCAGGAGCUCUCUUGUCCUGUUGACCGUGCCACGGUGGUCUACCGCGACAACGUCUCGGCGGUCUACCUCUCCGCUAACCCGGUGCAUCAUCGACGGACCAAACAUAUUGAGUUGGAUAUUCAUUUUGUUCGGGAACAGGUGGCCCUUGGCCAUAUUCGUGUUUUACACGUCCAUACUUCCCAACAAUUNNNNNNNNNNNNNNNNNNNNNNNNNNNNNNNNNNNNNNNNNNNNNNNNNNNNNNNNNNNNNNNNNNNNNNNNNNNNNNNNNNNNNNNNNNNNNNNNNNNNNNNNNNNNNNNNNNNNNNNNNNNNNNNNNNNNNNNNNNNNNNNNNNNNNNNNNNNNNNNNNNNNNNNNNNNNNNNNNNNNNNNNNNNNNNNNNNNNNNNNNNNNNNNNNNAGUAUAUGUGUUAUGUGCAUAUUGCGUAUUGGGCCCGCCUUCUAGUUCAUUGUAUAGUUGAGGUCCGUGGCCCAUCUUCGUACAUCAUAUAUACGUGCCUAUGCAUGAAGAGUAAUACAUCGUGCAAUUGCCACAACUCACAAUGUUGAACACGCCACUCCUCAAGAUCGUUGCAGCCUCGCUGCACCAGCGUCGUGAUUUUUCUGGCAAGCCGUUGGUCCCUGAUAUCAGCUGACGUUAGCUGACACAAGGGUCCCACUACGGCCGCCAUCGCUUGCCCCUUUGUUGUCGAUGCCAGGUGGGCCACUCACUUCAGCUCCUUCUCCAAGCCAGCCAGUUAAUCAGGUCACAAAACCAGCCAUGGAGCACCCCACCGAAUCCAGCCAAUCAGGUAUAGAACCUGUUGGCAUAAGCCAUGCCAUGUGCGGUGGCGACUGGCGUUGGGCGCGCCAGGUGUGUGUCCGUGUAUGCGUGGGAGAGGCCACCCGAGUCGUGUGUGCUGUGACAGUUCGUGCAUGCAUGUAGCUGGAUUAGUGGUCGCAGGUGGUGACCAAGCCACACGGGUCAUACGUGCAUCUAGUCUAGGUAGUUAGUAUAAGGAUGCAUGCAUUGGUUAGCGUGUUAGACGGCCAGUGGUGGUUGCCCUGUUUGGUUCAUAAGUCCUACGAUUUUUGUAGUCCCAACUUAUAAGUUUCAAGUCCCUAAAAAGUCCCUACCUGUUUGGUUCCUGCGACUUAUAAGUCCCUAUAAGACCAUAUUACAACUAUAAGACCCUAUAAGUUCCUCCUUAAAAGUCUUAUUUCAUAAGUCCCAAAUGCCCACUUUAAGUCCCUAUAAGUCCCUCCUGUUUGGUUUAGAUGGGACUUACAAGGACUUUUUUAAGUCUCUUGUAACGUCCCGGAUACAACUUUCCAUAUUCGUAACUCCAACUCUUGCCUUUUCCGGAGAUGCGAUAUGAUAUUUCCUUCGUGGUUGGGUUUUGUCUGUUGUUUUGCAUUUUGUUCUUGUUAUGCAUCUCAUCUCAUGUCAUCAUUCGCAUUGCAUCGGCAUUGUUUUUAUAAAACUUGCAUCCGUCCGAGUUCUCCCGGUUCUCUCCGUUGUCCGUUCUGAGCACAGACACACUCGCACGCGCCCGCGGCACCUCCGAAAUAUUAUUUUAUAAGUGGCAUAAAAAUGUUCUCGGAAUGGAUGCAACUUGGCGUGCGGUCUUAUUAUAGUGUAGACAGACCGCCUGUCAAGUUUCGUCGCAUUCGGAGUCCGUUUGACUGCCCAACCGUUAAACAUAUAGCGGCACCGUUGCCGGUGUUUUCGCCGGACGUUUCGGUCUCCGGAAUAGUUGCCGGGCCUCACUUCUCUUCUCUCCUCUCAGUCGAGGCCUCUCUUCACAGCCCACCUAGACCCCCUAUGUCCGGAGCUGCACGAUCGCGAUCGUACGGCUCGAAAACCCCUCCAAACCCUAAUCUUAACCUCCUGCCCUAUUUAAACCACCUUCCCCUUCCAAUUUUGGCAGCCUCCCCCCUCCUCCUCUUUUUCCGCACCACCCAACCCGCAGCCACCUCCUCCCACCUCGGGGGCCGCGCCGCCGCCUUCCCCCCUUCCAGAUCCGGCGCACCCCAGCGUCCCUCCGCCACUUGUCAAGCCCCUAGUGGCCAGCCACCGCCACAUCGUCGCCUCCAGCCACUCUGGGAGCGCCACAUGGCCUCGCCGCGUCCUCCUCGCCGCCGAGGCCCGCGGAAGCCCGCAACCGGACCACCCCGGGCCGCAUCUGGCCUCGGCGCGCCCACUCCCCCGCAACCGUGCCGUCUCCCCGCUCGCCCGAGCGAUCCAGAUCGGGAGAGGAGCUCCCGAUCCAGAUCGUGCCUCGCCGCCGCCUCUGGCCGAAGCCAUCUCGCGGCCGUCUCGCCGCCCCGGCGGACCCAGGUCACUGCCGCCCGGUCUCUCUCUCCCUUCCCUUUAUCCUUCCUCCCCUCACCAGCUCUCUCUCCCCCGCAGCUAGCCGCCGCCGCCAUGAACGCCUCCACCGAGCUCCGCCGUGGGCAUCACCACCUCACCGCCGGCCUCCUUCCGCCAGAUCCUGGCAGGGGAUGGUCGGAUCCAUCCAUCCCCAACCUCCCGCCGACCCCUACAUCGCCGGAGCGCUGCCCCGCCGCCGGUCUCCACCACGUCGACCUCCUUCCUCGUCCUCGUUCGAGCAGAGGACGAGGGCAUCCUCCUCGCGCACGUGGGCCAGCGCGUCGCCCUGCUGGUGGGUCACCCCACCUCCAAGGCCCACGUCGCCUCGGCUCAGCCCCGACCGGCCUCAAGGCCCGAUGUGAGCAGCUCCCCCACGCCUGGGCCAGAUCUCAGAUUCGGCCCAGGGUAGUUUUUUUUCCGUUCUGCGAUUUGCUAAUUAUCCAGAGUUUGCAUAUUUACAGAUUAACCCUCCAUGUUCAUGCAUAUAAUAACUCAUGAACCGUGCAUCGGAUUUAAAUAAUUUAUAUAUGUAAAAUGCUUAGAAUUUUGUGUAGAUUAAUAAUAUGCUGCUUGCAUCCAUGUUUAAAAUGUUGUUUGCAUUUAAUUUGCUCAAAUUCCAUGCUAAAAUGAUUUAUUUCAUAACUAAAUAACCGUAGCUCGGAAUUUAAUAAACUUUAUAUGUAAAUGGGGUUGAAAAAUGCCUAGAUUAACGUGGUGCACUUUAUUUUGCUGUUUAACAACAUUAAAAUUGUGUUUAGGGCAGAACAGUACCGAAUCUAAAAUAUGCAAAUGGGGAUUUUUCUGGAAUUGUUGUUUGUUGUUUCCGGCCUCAGUUAAACUUGCCUAGAUGGGUAGUUUAAUUAUGUUUCACCUCUUGCCAUGUUUAACAACAUUUAAUAUUGUUGUGUACCUAAACGAGAGCGAACUAAAUAACUCGGAUGUGGUGUUUCGUCAAUAUGCAACUCGUUGCAUAUUGAGCUCCACUCAACUUGUAUUAUUGUUUGUUGCACUUUGCCAUGCCAUGCCUCAUUAAACCGGACAUGCAUCAUACUUGUUUGUGCAUCAUGCCAUGAUUAUGCUUGUGUGUUUACCAUGUUGUUUGUUUCUUUCCGGUGUUACUUCUUAGUUCUGGUAAUGUUGUGAUUGUGAGGAUUUGUUCGACUACGCCCGUUCAUCUCCUUCAUGGACUCGUUCUUCUUCCUUGCGGGAUUUCAGGCAAGAUGACCGCUACCCUGGAUCUCACUACUAUCAUUGCUAUGCUAGUUGCUUCAUUCUAUCGCUAUGCUGCGUUACCUAUCCUUUGCUCUUCAAGCCUCCCAAAUUGCCAUGAACCUCUAACCUUUGACACUCUUCCUAGCAAACUGUUGCUUGGCUAUGUUACCGCUUUGCUCAGCCCCUCUUAUAGCGUUGUUAGUUGCAGGUGAAGUUGAAGAUUGCUCCAUGGUGGACAGGGUUUUGGUUGGGAUAUCACAAUAUCUCUUAUAUUAUUAAUGCAUCUAUAUAUUUGGUAAAGGGUGGAAGGCUCGGCCUUAUGCCUGGUGUUUUGUUCCACUCUUGCCGCCCUAGUUUCCGUCAUACCGGUGUUAUGUUCCCGGAUUUUGCGUUCCUUAUGCGGUCGGGUGAUUUAUGGGACCCCCUUGACAGUUCGCUUUGAAUAAAACUCCUCCAGCAAGGCCCAACAUUGGUUUUACCAUUUGCCUCACCNNNNNNNNNNNNNNNNNNNNNNNNNNNNNNNNNNNNNNNNNNNNNNNNNNNNNNNNNNNNNNNNNNNNNNNNNNNNNNNNNNNNNNNNNNNNNNNNNNNNNNNNNNNNNNNNNNNNNNNNNNNNNNNNNNNNNNNNNNNNNNNNNNNNNNNNNNNNNNNNNNNNNNNNNNNNNNNNNNNNNNNNNNNNNNNNNNNNNNNNNNNNNNNNNNNNNNNNNNNNNNNNNNNNNNNNNNNNNNNNNNNNNNNNNNNNNNNNNNNNNNNNNNNNNNNNNNNNNNNNNNNNNNNNNNNNNNNNNNNNNNNNNNNNNNNNNNNNNNNNNNNNNNNNNNNNNNNNNNNNNNNNNNNNNNNNNNNNNNNNNNNNNNNNNNNNNNNNNNNNNNNNNNNNNNNNNNNNNNNNNNNNNNNNNAAGUGUUGGUCCGAACCGGGCAGACUGCGGGGCCACCUCGGGGCAACUCGAGGGUUGGUUUUACUCGUAGGCUGGCCUAUCCAGUGUUGCCCUGAGAACGAGAUAUGUGCAGCUCCUAUCGGGAUUGUCGGCGCAUCGGGCGGCUUUGCUGGUCUUGUUUUACCAUUGUCGAAAUGUCUUGUAAACCGGGAUUCCGAGUCUGAUCGGGUCUUCCUGGGAGAAGGUAUAUCCUUCGUUGAUCGCGAGAGCUUAUCAUGGGCUAAGUUGGGACACCCCUACAGGGUAUAAUCUUUCGAAAGCCGUGCCUGCGGUUAUUGGCAGAUGAGAAUUUGUUAAUGUCCGGUUGUAGAUAACUUGACACCAGAUUCGAAUUAAAACGCAUCAACCGCGUGUGUAGCCGUGAUGGUCUCUUCUCGGCGGAGUCCGGGAAGUGAACACGGUUUAUGGGUUAUGUUUGACGUAAGUAGGAGUUCAGGAUCACUUCUUGAUCAUUGCUAGCUUCACGACCGUUCCUUUUGCUCUCUUCUCGCUCUUAUUUGCGUAUGUUAGCCACCAUAUAUGCUUAGUCGCUGCUGCAACCUCACCACUUUACCCCUUCCUUUCCUAUUAAGCUUUGCUAGUCUUGAUACCCAUGGUAAUGGGAUUGCUGAGUCCUCGUGGCUCACAGAUUACUACAACAACAGUUGCAGGUACAGGUUAUGCUAUGAUCAUGACGCGAGAGCGAUGCUUGCUUGUGUUGGAGUUCUUCUUCUGUUUCUUCUUCGAUCAGGGGAUAGGUUCCAGGUCGGCAGCCUGGGCUAGCAGGGUGCAUGUCGUUUGAGUUUUUGUUUAUGUUUCAUCCGUAGUCGGAUGGUGCUCUAUGUAUUGUGAUGUUGUAUUCGUGUGGCAUUGUAUGCCUCUUGUAGUAUCUCCAUCUAUUAUGUAAUGUUGAUGUAAUGAUAUCCACCUUGCAAAAGCGUUUCAAUAUGCGGGUCUAUCCUUGGUGGGACCUUCGAGUUCCUUUUGAAUAGGGUCGCAUAUUGGGCGUGACAAGUUGGUAUCAGAGCCUCGACCGACCAUAGGAGCCUCCUUGUUUGUUGGCCGUUGUUGAGUCUAGAAGAAAACUAUUUUGAGUCUUAGGAUUAUAUAUAUCGGAGAGUAGGAUUCUUUUUACUCCUCAGCCCCUUCGUCGCUCUUGUGAGGUCUCCUGACGUAGAUGUUUUGUCUUUCCUCUCCUCAAAUUUCACUAAAUUUUUUUAGGAUCACGCGGGUAUCUUGGAAUCGUUACGAUGGUUUUCUGACGAGAACAUUGUUCUUGGUGCCUCCUGUCUAUUAUGUGGCAUUGACCCGGGGAGUUGAGCUCCGAGGUGUUGUCGUCACAAUUUUAUCGUUGCAGUUCUGGAAUACCUGAGUUUUGCCGACAUCGAAAAUCUCUUUUAUGCAGUUGUUGGUGAGAUAACCUCGACGUCACCCAGUACUGGGGAGUUCGGGAGUAUUGCCAUAACUCGUAUAACGGAUGCUUUUAGAAGGUUCAGGUACACGAUUUCCGGAGUUUUCUUGGUUAUGUGUUAACGGAUGGAUACAGCUGGAUGUAGGGAUUGUUAGUGUGGGUGAGAUAUAUUGCUUCCCCUGUAUCCCCAACACCAGAUUGCAUAACCAGAAAGUUUCGGGAGUUUUAUAGGUGGGAAUUCUAGUAGCUCCUAGAAUAUCUUUCCGACAGAUGCAUGAUAUGGGAUUGGGUAAAUCUCUAUCAUAUGUAUUUGUUCCGGCUUAUUCUGCAAGCCAAACCCUUUGUUUUGUUUUAUUUGUGGUAUUUGAGUUGCUUCAAAGUCAAGUGUUGAUUCCAUACCUUUCAAGCGGUGUUCUCAUAUAUCUAUGGGAGUACUAAUCCUUUUGAUCAUUGAGAUUGUCAUGUCAAUUCUUUCCAUCCGGUGCGCUUCUCUUCAAGUGGAUCCGAUCAUUUUCAACAUCCGCAAGAUCAAUUCUAAGUUUUCUCAACGGUAUCCAUUCCAUCUGCCCCAAGUUGCCUUUGUUUUCCCGCCCUCCCACCCUUUUUCUUCAAGGGCCCAGAUUUCUUAAUCAAGUAUCCAUUUAUUCAUGUGAAGUCUCUUCACUCUUUUCAAUCAAUGUUUUGAUCCGGUGAUCCCUCGUGAAGAUGCUCACGAGCUUCAAGUUCAUCAAUCUUCAUUCUCGUAUUCUUUUCCGGUGGAUUUAAUUCAAGCUUUUGGUGUUCAUCAUAUUCCUUUCCUCGUUUCUAAUGCUUUCUCAUGCUGAUGCACCUCUUAAUUGUUCACCUCUCUCUAUUCUUAUCCAGAGUGCUCAAGAUAUCUCAAAAGACUUGUGUUUCCAUUCUCAAUCAGUUCAAGAUAUUUCGAGGUUGUUAUCUCAUUCAAGCCAUUUAAUUCAACCGGUGCAAUCUCUCUUCAAAAUCGUUCAACGGUGUUUUCUUUUGAGUGGGCCCUAACCCACAGGUCUUUUCCCAGGAUCUUACCUGACUCUUCUAAUUUUCCUAGAGCUUCUAAAAUUCAUUUCCAAGUUUGAUGUAAGAAUGAAUUUUCAUCAGUCACAUGCCUUCUCCAAGGUCGCUUUCAAAUUAUUUUCAUCUUUGGCUCAACCUUUCCUCUUUUAAUCCUUCCGGAGUUUCUCAACAAUUUGGUGGUGGUUCUCGUCAUCAUUCUCAACAUGUGAAGACCGAAGAAGUGUUUCCUCUAAAUCUUGGUCCAUUCUCUUAAAGAUUCAUGGUUCUAGCUUCAUGCUAUCCUCAUAAUUGUUUUGAUUGUGAGAUUUCUAUUCUUACCAUCCGGAGCAUUUCAUGAGUUGUUUCCAGUUCUUUCCUCCGAAGGUCAUCAUGUCUUAAUUCUUCAUUCGCAACGUGUAGCUAUCAUUCUCCAAAUCUUACCGGUGCAUCGCUCAAAUAUCCUCUAAUUAGUUCAUGAUUCCUUUGUUCUCAUGUAUCUAAAUCCCCUCAAGUAUCUUCAUUCGUUUUCAAAUUCUUCCCGGUGAAUUGUGCCUUUGCUACUUUCAUUUUCUAUUCUUACGGUGGUUCGUUCAAGAUUUCUCUUCCUUCGUCAUCGUAUCAAUUCAUUCAUUCAUUCGUUGUUUCCAAAUCCCACCGGUGGUUCCAUCAAUACCUUCUCAAGUUUGCGCUAUAUCUCUCUUAAUCCUUUCUACGAGAAUAAGUAGUAUGCCAAAUCCGUUGCUUGUCAUCAAUUAAAUUUGAUGAAGGAUAAGCAUACAAUAAAUCUUAUUCUUAUUUCCUCGAGGUGGCUCAAUUCUUUUUACGGAGAUUAUUCAUGAUGAAUAAAUUCUUGAUUACAAGUGAUUCAUCUUUCUUUCCGGAGUUGGUCAUCAUAUCACAUUCUCGGUUUGAGAGGCUUCAUCUUUCUUUUUGGAGUUCCAAGCUCUCUCAAUUAUCUCGUCGCGAAGCUCCAUCUAAAUCAUUGCAAGGGUUCACCUUGUGUUUUCAACCUCUCUUUCUUCCUAUCAUCCUUUUAUUACUGGAGUUCUUCAUGGAGGCUCUACAUGGUGGUUCACAAGGAUUCUUUUCAUUCUUCAAGUGUUCUUCAAGAUUUCUCUCGAAUCUAUGACCCGCCAAGUUAUACUCAAAAAUAAACAUGGUGCCCAACACAUGUUUUAUUUUGAGGAGUUCAAGUAUUCUUCAUCUUGCAUUUUGAGGUGCAAUUCUCCUACCUUAUCUUUUGAGAUGGUGUUAUAUCAUUCUUGACAGUUUCCCUUCAAGUUUUUUGAUUCACAAGUUGUCAAGAAUGAGAUAUUGUGAAACCAUCAUUUUCUCUUUGAUCAUGAAUUGUUUCAACCCAUAUUAAUCUCUUCGUUGGAGUUAUAUUGUGUCAUAUUUCACCUAAAGCCUUCCCUAAGAAAUGUUGCUAUUGUGGUGCUUAUCAAUGAUCCAAGUUUUCUCCUAUCCUCUCGGCGAAAGCAGUUUUCAUCUCUUCGUUGAUCUCAAGCAAGCAAUUGUUUCAGUUAGUGGCCGGUUGUCACCUCAUCAUUUUGAGAUGUUUGCCAUAAGCCCACAACAAGCUUGUGCUUUUCGUUGUUGAUUUUGCAACAACUUCGUUCAAUUCUUCUUUGCAAGGAUGCUUUCCAAGUUCAUUUGUGGCAUAAGUUGGCAUUUUCUUCUCCGUUCUGUUAUUCCAAUGAUCUAUCUUCUAUUCUUUCUUCUGGAGGCAUUGUGAUGUUGCUCUCUUCACCCAUCACCUCGUUUUUUCAAGAUCAUGUUAUUCUCUUGCUUAUCCAUUUAAUCGGAGUGUUGUGUCAUCUCUUCAAGUUCUUUCAUGUUAUCAAGUUUUGCAUCUCUUUUCAACCGGAGUGUUGUCCGAACUUGAUCUUCCUUAUUCCUUGUUUAUCUUGUUUCAACCAGAGUGGUUCCAAUUCCUUCUUGUCCAUUGUACUCGUCAUUCAUAGCUUUGCAACCUCCAAGGUUCACAUGGUGUUCCUUGUUUCUAUUUUUCUACCGCAGUGCUCUCAAUUGUGUUCAACUCUGUUGUGUUCUUUCUUUCAACUUUUCAACCUCUCAAGGUUCGUGGUUUUACUCAUUGGUCGAAGAAGCAACUUAGUUUACCUCUUCUCUUCCUCUUCCGUUUCUCUCCGGUGCCAUCCUAGAUCUCGGGACGAGAUCCUGUCGUAGUGGUGGAGUGUUGUAACGCCCCGGAUACAACUUUCCAUAUUCGUAACUCCAACUCUUGCCUUUUCCGGAGAUGCGAUAUGAUAUUUCCUUCGUGGUUGGGUUUUGUCUGUUGUUUUGCAUUUUGUUCUUGUUCUGCAUCUCGUCUCAUGUCAUCAUUCGCAUUGCAUCGGCAUCGUUUUCAUACAACUUGCAUCCGUUCGGGUUCUCCCGGUUCUCUCCGUUGUCCGUUCUGAGCACAGACACACUCGCACGCGCCCGCGGCACCUCUGAAAUAUUAUUUUAUAAGUGGCAUAAAAAUGUUCUCGGAAUGGGAUGCAACUUGGCGUGCGGUCUUAUUAUAGUGUAGAGAGACCACCUGUCAAGUUUCGUUGCAUUCGGAGUCCGUUUGACUGCCCAACCGUUAAACAUAUAGCGGCACCGUUGCCGGUGUUUUCGCCGGACGUUUUGGUCUCCGGAACAGUUGCCGGGCCUCACUUCUCUUCUCUCCUCUCAGCCGAGGCCUCUCUUCACAGCCCACCUAGACCCCCUAUGUCCGGAGUUGCACGAUCGCGAUCGUAUGGCUCGAAAACCCCUCCAAACCCUAAUCUUAACCUCCUGCCCUAUUUAAACCACCUUCCCCUUCCAAUUUUGGCAGCCUUCCCCCCUCCUCCACUUUUUCCGCACCACCCAACCCGCAGCCACCUCCUCCCACCUCGGGGGCCGUGCCGCCGCCUUCCCCCCUUCCAGAUCCGGCGCGCCCCAGCCUCCCUCCACCACUUGUCAAGCCCCUAGUGGCCAGCCACCACCACAUCGUCGCCUCCAACCACUCUGGGAGCGCCACAUGGCCUCGCCGCGUCCUCCCCGCCGCCGAGGCCCACGGAAGGCCGCAACUGGCCCGCCCCGGGCCGCAUCUGGGCUCGACGCGCCCACUCCCCCGCAACCGUGCCGUCUCCCUGCUCGCUCGAGCGAUCCAGAUCGGGAGAGGAGCUCCCGAUCCAGAUCGUGCCUCGCCGCCGCCUCUGGCCGAAGCCAUCUCGCCGCCGUCUCGCCGCCCCGGCGGACCCAGGUCGCUGCCGCCCGGUCUCUCUCUCCCUUCCCUUUCUCCUUCCUCCCCUCACCAGCUCUCUCUCCCCCGCAGCUAGCCGCCGCCAUGAACGCCUCCACCGAGCUCCGCCAUGGGCAUCACCACCUCACCGCCGGCCUCCUUCCGCUAGAUCCGGGUAGGGGAUGGUCGGAUCCAUCCAUCCCUAACCUCCCGCCGACCCCUACAACACCGGAGCGUUGCCCCGCCGCCGGUCUCCACCACGUCGACCUCCUACCUCGUCCUCGUUCGGGCAGAGGACGAGGGCAUCCUCCUUGCGCACGUGGGCCAGCGCGUCGCCCUGCUGGUGGGUCACCCCACCUCCAAGGCCCACGUCGCCUCGGCUCAGCCCCGACCGGCCUCAAGGCCCGAUGUGAGCAGCUCCCCGACGCCUGGGCCAGAUCUCAGAUUCGGCCCAGCGUAGUUUUUUUUUCGUUCUGCGAUUUGCUAAUUAUCCAGAUUUUGCAUAUUUACAGAUUAACCCUCCAUGUUCAUGCAUAUAAUAACUCAUGAACCGUGCAUCGGAUUUAAAUAAUUUAUAUAUGUAAAAUGCUUAGAAUUUUGUGUAGAUUAAUAAUAUGCUGCUUGCAUCCAUGUUUAAAAUGUUGUUUGCAUUUAAUUUGCUCAAAUGCCAUGCUAAAAUGAUUUAUUUCAUAACUAAAUAACCGUAGCUCGGAAUUUAAUAAACUUUAUAUGUAAAUGGGGUGGAAAAAUGCCUAGAUUAACAUGGUGCACUUUAUUUUGCUGUUUAACAACAUUAAAAUUGUGUUUAGGGCAAAACAGUACCGAAUCUAAAAUAUGCACAUGGGGAUUUUUCCGGAAUUGUUGUUUGUUGUUUCCGGCCUCACUUAAACUUGCCUAGAUAGGUAGUUUAAUUAUGUUUCACCUCUUGCCAUGUUUAACAACAUUUAAUAUUGUUGUGUACCUAAACGAGAGCGAACUAAAUAACUCGGAUGUGGUGUUUCGUCAAUAUGCAACUCGUUGCAUAUUGAGCUCCACUUAACUUGUAUUAUUGUUUGUUGCACUUUGCCAUGCCAUGCCUCAUUAAACCGGACAUGCAUCAUACUUGUUUGUGCAUCAUGCCAUGAUUAUGCUUGUGUGUUUACCAUGUUGUUUGUUUCUUUCCGGUGUUUCUUCUUAGUUCCGGUAAUGUUGCGAUUGUGAGGAUUUGUUCGACUACGCCCGUUCAUCUCCUUCAUGGACUCGUUCUUCUUCCUUGCGCGAUUUCAGGCAAGAUGACCGCUACCCUGGAUCUCACUACUAUCAUUGCUAUGCUAGUUGCUUCGUUCUAUCGCUAUGCUGCAUUACCUAUCUUUUGCUCUUCAAGCCUCCCAAAUUGCCAUGAACCUCUAACCUUUGACACUCUUCCUAGCAAACUGUUGCUUGGCUAUGUUACCGCUUUGCUCAGCCCCUCUUAUAGCAUUGUUAGUUACAGGUGAAGUUGAAGAUUGCUCCAUGGUGGAUAGGGUUUUGGUUGGGAUAUCACAAUAUCUCUUAUAUUAUUAAUGCAUCUAUAUAUUUGGUAAAGGGUGGAAGGCUCGGCCUUAUGCCUGGUGUUUUGUUCCACUCUUGCCGCCCUAGUUUCCGUCAUACCGGUGUUAUGUUCCCGGAUUUUGCAUUCCUUACGCGGUCGGGUGAUUUAUGGGACCCCCUUGACAGUUCGCUUUGAAUAAAACUCCUCCAGCAAGGCCCAACAUUGACUUUUACCAUUUGCCUCACCACCACCUAUAUUUCCCUUGGGAGUAAUUAACCCAAGGGUCAUCUUUUUUUAGCCCCCCCCGGGCCAGUGCUUGUCUAAGUGUUGGUCCGAAUUGGGCAGACUGCGGGGCCACCUCGGGGCAACUCGAGGGUUGGUUUUACUCGUAGGCUGACCUAUCCGGUGUUGCCCUGAGAACGAGAUAUGUGCAGCUCCUAUCGGGAUUGUCGGCGCAUCGGGCGGCUUUGCUAGUCUUGUUUUACCAUUGUCGAAAUGUCUUGUAAACCGGGAUUCCGAGUCUGAUCGGGUCUUCCUGGGAGAAGAUAUAUCCUUCAUUGAUCACGAGAGCUUAUCAUGGGCUAAGUUGGGACACCCCUGCAGGGUAUAAUCUUUCGAAAGCCGUGCCUGCGGUUAUUGGCAGAUGAGAAUUUGUUAAUGUCCGGUUGUAGAUAACUUGACACCAGAUUCGAAUUAAAACGCAUCAACCGCGUGUGUAGCCGUGAUGGUCUCUUCUCGGCGGAGUCCGGGAAGUGAACACGGUUUAUGGGUUAUGUGUGACGUAAAUAGGAGUUCGGGAUCACUUCUUGAUCAUUGCUAGCUUCACGACCGUUCCUUUUGCUCUCUUCUCGCUCUUAUUUGUGUAUGUUAGCCACCAUAUAUGCUUAGUCGCUGCUGCAACCUCACCACUUUACCCCUUCCUUUCCUAUUAAGCUUUGCUAGUCUUGAUACCCAUGGUAAUGGGAUUGCUGAGUCCUCGUGGCUCACAGAUUACUACAACAACAGUUGCAGGUACAUGUUAUGCGAUGAUCAUGACGCGAGAGCGAUGCUUGCUUGCGUUGGAGUUCUUCUUCUGUUUCUUCUUCGAUCAGGGGAUAGGUUCCAAGUCGGCAGCCUGGGCUAGCAGGGUGGAUGUCGUUUGAGUUUCUGUUUGUGUUUCAUCCGUAGUCGGUUGGUGCUCUAUGUAUUGUGAUGUUGUAUUCGUGUGGCAUUGUAUGCCUCUUGUAUGUAUCCCCAUCUAUUAUGUAAUGUUGAUGUAAUGAUAUCCACCUUGCAAAAGCGUUUCAAUAUGCGGGUCUAUCCUUGGUGGGACCUUCGAGUUCCUUUUGGAUAGGGUCGCAUAUUGGGCGUGACAUCUCUAGACCAAUAAGUCCCUGGAAACAAACACCGUCUACGUGUGUGUCGUGGGGUUAGUGGCUGGUGUGAUGGCCGGGUCGUGUGUGUGUGUCUGGGUAUAAAAAGCCCUCCCAUGUAUUGAUUGAGGUGCGCCCGUUUGUUGCCGCGCCACGGUGACGGUAUGUGCCGAACCGAGGGGAAGGGGCCUAAGGAAGAUGUAGUCUUCAUCGGGACCGUGGUAUGCGCCUGGUUGAUGUGAGAGUUCUUCCGGGGUUGUGCUGCGUGUGUGUACCUCCAUGUAUGUGUGUUUGAGUAGUUGAGUUGAAUAGAAGCCAACAUACAGGCCGUUCGGCGGCCGGGGCGUUCGUCGCCGGAAAAUUCCGUUCAUCUUCUUCUACCUUCGUCCGGCGGUCGUCGUCGGAGGGCGGUUCGGCGUAUGUCCCCGGUGGGUUUGUCCCAACAUUUGGUAUCAUGAGCUUCGUUGUCUUGGGCGUCGUUCUCCUUGCCGGAGGAGUGCCGGCAGUGGCGGAGUUCGCCGGCGGCUGCGCGGUGCUCCGGGCCGUGUGUCGGCCUAUGGAGGUGCGCGGCGCUGCGACAGCGCGGCGAGGAGGCCGCGGAGGUCCUGCUUGGUGGCGCAGAGGCCGCGAAGGCGCGGCGGCUUUGUGUAGCACGGCGUCGGCCGCCCGAGCGCGUCGGCGUCGACGACGUGUGUUGCAGGCAGUGAAGGGAAUUGGCGUGCAUCGCCGGACACGAAGAAGAAGAAGAUGCAGCAGGGUUCACGUCUGAGAGGCUGUAGCGGCUGCCAUGGUGGCAACGACGACGGGAGCUGCAGCGAGGACAACAACGACGAUGUCAUGGCUUAGGAGGUGAGUGUUGGCAUAAGCCAUGCCAUGUGCGGUGGUGACUGGCGUUGGGCGCGCCAAGUGUGUGUCCGUGUAUGCGUGGGAGAGGCCGCCCGAGUCGUGUGUGCUGUGACAGUUCGUGCAUGCAUGUAGCUGGAUUAGUGGUCGCAGGUGGUGACCGAGCCACACGGGUCAUACGUGCAUCUAGUCUAGGUAGUUAGUAUAUGGAUGCAUGCAUGGGUGGUUAGCGUGUUAGCCGGCCAGUGGUGGUUGGAUUACUACAUGUGUGUCGUGGGGUUAGUGGCCGGUGCGAUGGCCGGGUCGUGUGUGCGCGUCCGGGUAUAAAAAGGCCUCCCAUGUAUUGAUGGAGGUGCGCCGGUUUGUUGCCGCGCCACGGUGACGGUAUGUGCCGAGCCGAGGGGGAGGGGCCUAAGAAAAAUGUAGUCUCCAUCGGGACCAUGGUAUGCGCCUGGUCGAUGUGAGAGUUCUUUCGGGGUUGUGCUGCGUGUGUGCGUGUGUACCUCCAUGUAUGUGUGUUUGAGUAGUUGAGUUGAAUAGAAGCCAACAUACAUGCCGUUCGGUGGCCGGGGCGUUCGUCGUUGGAAAAUUUUGUUCAUCUUCUUCUACCUUCGUCCGGCGGUUGUCGCCGGAGGGCGGUUCGACGUAUGUCGCCGGUGGGUUUGUCCCAACAGAACCAACCUCUCGUGGAUCAGCCAUGCGUAACCCUAGCGUCUGAUCCAAACUGUCCACACAUAGCGAUCUAAUGACAUGAAAGGGUGCGGGGUUUCAGGGGGGGUGGGGUUGAGGGGUUUUGAGAGGGUUUCAAGGGUUAAGGUUGAGCAUAAGUAAUUAAAAAAUACAAAAAUAUGAAACAUGUGCAUCAUCGUUUUUAUGUGACUAAGUUGCUAGGAAAAAUAAGGAACUUGGUAUACGGAUAUUUUCAUGAAAAUCCCUUUACAGAACUUGGCUAUCAUGAAUGAGGUUGCAGUGUUUUCAAGGGAUAUGAGCUAGGGUUUAGGGUUAAGCAUGACAUAGUUUGUCCAAAUGAUCCCAAAUUGGGCAUGAACCCUAUAUUUGCACACUUUAUGCCAAGAUUUUUUUUCGCUCAUUUAGAGAAGGUCGAAAAAAAACUUGCAUAUAAUUGAUGUUGUUUACCCUAGCUUUGGAGCUCAUUUUUCAUGACUAUGAGUUUUACUUUCACAAAAGUGCUCGGAUUGAUCACCUCAAGUGCAUGAUAUUUGAAAAAGCAUCGGAACAUCAAUACACAUCAAAGUACAAAUUUGAAUUUUGGCUCAAAUUUGAAUAGUGUGUACCAAUAUACAUCAGAGUACAAAUAGCAUUACAUCACACAAGUUUCAAUACCACAAACCAAGAACAAGUUUGGACAAAAAGACGGGAAUACAUAGUGUGUACCAAUACACAUCAAAGUACAAAUAACAUUACAUCACACAAGUUGAUCCCCAUGUUUGUGCCAAAUAUGGUCACCUUAUUAUGAAAUAUUUUGAAAACUCCCUUGUUCGUAGGAAAAAUUAUAAACUUGAAAUACCAUAAAAUAAAAUAAAUUCUUCACAAAAUUGCCAAAUUUGAACUUGUGCACUAUUUAUAGAGAUUGUGCCAAAUCCUUCACUAUUUCUAGGGAUUUCUAUGAAGCAAGUAGCAGAAAUAUGAUAAAAUUGGCAAAAGUACAUUUUUGCGUCUUAUUUGUGAUAUUUGCUUCACCAAAAAAAACUUUAUUGGAAGUUGAAAAAUGAUUUUUAUUGUAACAAAUUUGGAAACUCCCUCUUUUGAAAGCUAUCUUUUUAGUGUUCAUUCUUAAAUACAAUUCUCUGAAAAUUGUGAGCAAUUUUUAUUAAAUUAGUAAGGUAAAUAGGGAUUUAUAGACAUUUUUUGCUAGAGUUGGACCAAGAGGGAAUUUGAUUAGGAAUUUCUAAAGAAGUCCUGUAUAUAUCAAAUAUAGAUUUAAAUCAAAGAUACAUAGAAAAACUUCAUGUAUAAUUAUGAAAAUUGGAUAUUAAAUAGGUCUGGAGAUCUGAUGAAUUUAUGAACUUGAAUCAACUCAACUAGAUUUAAAAUGAAUGUUCUAUGAAUUUAUAAAAUUGACUAGAAUUGCAAAAAGGUAUUCGAUACUGUUCAGGCGGGCUAAACAGAUCGACCGAAUUACUUAAAAUACCAAUCUGGCGCGCUUAAGGAGAUACGCACACAUGUCACACUGGCUCGACCCAGCUUUGUCUCUACGGGCUGGGAUGCGACGUCAAUGGCACACUUUUGAGGUGGUCCCACUCGUUAGGAUGUCAUCCAAGUAACAGUAAAUGGGCUUUUAUCCAACGGAAUGCAUCGUUUGGGCAUUUGCGAGGCCGGGGCCUAGUAAAGAGGGGAAAAGUGAGGAACGUGAAGGUGGCAGAGCAAAACUAAGUAGAACUAAAGAAUCAGGGGCACCAAAAUAGAAAGCCCUAAAUCCUAUGAACGUGCUCCUCGAUGAUCACGUAGACACUUCUCAAAUUGCUCAUGGUCGUAUGUUAAUACUAUUUGAGUCUAUUUUAGUUACGAUUUAUCUUAAAUUUAUAAUAGUGAGACUCAGCUGCCUCCUACUCCUCCAAAACAAAACCUAGGGUUCCUGCCUCUCGCCGGCACCACCGCAGGUCCGCCUCGCCUCCGCUGGUCCUAGGCAGGGCCGGCCCUGAGGGGGGGCAGGGGGGUGGCCGCCCCGGGCCCCCAACAUCGAGGGGCCCCCUCUCAAGUAAAGUAGCCCAGGGAUUCUCCCCAAAAAAAGAAGCGACUAGGACUGGGUCGUAGCAUGGCUUCAGGCCUUUUGCAUGUUCAGCUUCAUAUGGCCCAAGUGGAUUGCUGGGCUAGGUAGUCAUGCAUGUACGCAUUAUUUCUCGGAAACAAAAACGCACACACUAUGGCUGAUCGAUUAAAUCAGAUCAGAUCAGAUCAGCUCGAAGAGGGGCAAUGUAUCACGCACGGCGUUGGCGAUCGAGGGAACGAAUUCCGCUUCAGGCCGAACGCCCUUGCCAUCACCUGAUCGCCGUCUAGUCUCGCCUCUCGCGACCUUCAUGCGCAGCAGUAGCCAAGAGACGAGAGGGGACAAGGCCUGCUUAGACUGGAUCAGAAUCUAUCAGUUGAUUUUUAAAUCCGUGUUCAACAGCUCUAAGGUAGCCUCUCUGGUAGUCCCUAGUUCCUAAAUUUGUUGUUUGUUAAUUGAAGUCGAUGCCCAGAAUUGUUUUUCACAAUCCAAUCAUUGGAUAGGAUUAGUGUGUUGAAAACUGCACUAUCUGUGCUUCAUUUAAAGAUGACACAAAAAUUAAUUUUGUAAUUGUUGUGGAUUGCAUUCCAAUUGAACCCAAUUUGCUCAGUUUGGAUUAAUGGUUGCUGAGGUAUCACCAGAAUGGUGCUGCUGUACAAGUAUUUUCAAAGUUGAGCAGAUAUUGUUUUUGCGACUUUUAACAAAUUUCUAUUCGCAAGAACUAGUCUAUAUUCAGAUAUGACCAGUUUCUUAUUACAACAUGCAUGAAAGACGUAGAUAACUUCAUGUUGAAUAUCCUGAUUUGCUUAUUUUCUUCAUUUUGUAAAAUGGAUCAUGAUUUGUAGCCUAGAAAUUCAUAUAUGACGUGCUUUGGAGUUCAAAUUAAAUGGAGAAUCCAAGCUAUGCUUGUAUAUUUACCUAAUAAUAAUCAAUGGGCUAGCUCUAGGAGAUAUUUAUACAUAUACUAUUAGGUAUUAGGAUGUUCAAGAGCCAAGAACAAUACAUAAAAAUUUUAUGUUUAUAUUAAAGGGGCCUCGGGUUUUACUUUCGCCCCGGGCCCCCGAAUUGUCAGGACCGGCCCUGGUCCUAGGGCCAUGGGGGACGCGGUGGAUCCUGACAAGGGCCGGCGGAAGGGCUCCGUUUUUAGUCGCUUCUUUCAGUUGGAUUUGUGUCCUGUUCAGGAAGACAAAAUAGUGGCGGCUCCCUAAAGAUGAAAUAAAGGUCUCCCCGCCUAGUCCCUGUUCCGACGGUGCGUCUAGCAUCGUUGGUGGGCGUGUGAAGGCGUGUUUUCGGCGAAUCUACCUUUGGUGGAUUUGCUUGGAUCUCAUCGUUGUUUGUCCACGUUUGUGUGUCUCCGGUUUGGAUCCUUCUGAUCUACAUUAUUUUUCAUCGGCGGCGGUUGCUGUUCUGGUGUGUUGGUCCUAUGCGGCCUUAGCACGACGACUUACCGACUAUCUACUACAAUAAGUUGUGCCCAACUCCGGCAAUGGAGUGGUGAUGACGGCAGCGUGCCUUCGGCUCGCUUCAAUACUUAUAGUCGUCGCUAGGUGGUCUAGGAUCUGGUUGUAAUUUUUAUUAUUUUCGGUGUUCGUCGUACUGCCAUGAUUGAUGAUGAAUAGAUCAGAAGUUUUCUUGCAAAAUAGAUAAAUAAUACUCCCUCCGUAAAUUAAUAUAAGAGCGUUUAGAUCACUGCUCACUUAGGUCGGCUAACGAGGAGUAAUAGUGAGACUCAAGCUUCCAUAGCGAUUCGGUACCCUUAGCCAUCCUAUUGGAUCUUCAAUGCUCCAGAUUUAGGUUUGUGAACCACCAUCGCCCCAACGCUUAUUUGGCCCUCGUUCACCUCGUUAGCCGACCUAAGCAGGUCGGAUGAACGUCAAAAGGCGAAAUCACGGAGAGCACUCCAACUCUCCCAGGUUGCGACAAGUGGCACGAGAUCACUCCAACUUCCCCAGCUUGCGUCAAGUGAGGUGCUGUAUGAGUGCCACUUGUCGCAACCUAGGAGUUUUUCCUUUUUUCGUAGAUCAGAUUAUUUAAAAUGUUUUAUCUUUUAAACCAUGCGUCCAAAUCUCCAACCGCUUUCGCCGUUGGAUUUCUCGCGUCGAGAUCUUCAAAACUAGAUCCCAUGUUGAUAGGUCUUGACGAACUUUUUUUUCAUGAAAAAACCGGACGAAAAAACCCGAUGAAAAAACCGAACCGGGAACACGGUUUUUUUUCCUUUUCGAAAGAGGCACACCCAUGCCUCUGACGAAAUCACAACCUUGCCUCUCGCGGAAAAAAAACCGUGCCUCUCGCGAAAUAAAAAAAAAACAGAAAUCGUGUUUUCCCUUUCCGAAAGAGGCACGCCCGUGCCUCUCGCGAAGCACAACCGUGCCUCUCGCGGAAGCAAAACUGUGCCUCUCGCGAAAGGAAAAAACCCAGAAAACACGUUUUUUUCCCUUUCCAAGAGAGGCAGGCCCGUGCCUCUCGCGAAAGCACAACCGUGCCUCUCGCGGAAGCAAAACCGUGCCUCUCGCGAAAGGAAAAAAAACAGAAAACAUGUUUUUUUUGUUUCCAAGAGGCACGGCCGUGCCUCUCGCGAAAACAGAACCGUGCCUCUCGCGAAAACAGAACCGUGCCUCUCGCGAAAACAAAACCGUGCCUCUCACGAAAAAAAUACGUUUUUUUGCGCAAAAAUAUUAUUUUUUUCCAAAAUUAUUUUUUGUCGAAAAGCUAGGGAAGACCGGUGGAAAACCAAAACAUAAAAAACCCGGAGAAAAACCGUUUAAAAAGCCGAAAACGCGUGCGGAAAAAUAAAAAAACAAAAGCCGAAGGGAGCGCCCAGAGCGCGACACGUGGUGAAUGGCUGAGAGCGCGCCAAAUAACGCUGAUCGUUACGAGGCUCCCGAAGAAGCGCUCGUUAAUUAGUUGCUCCCGUCAAAGGUACGCUGCUCCGAACACUUACGUCAAUGUCAAUGGUUUUUGCUCGUCAACGCCCAUGUGAACGCUCGGUUUGGCCGGCCCAUUAAGCAUCCUUCGACCGCUCACUCGCUUGAUCACUAACCAGCUCGCUCGCUCGUUUGAUCGCUGGACCGGCUCGCUCGCUCGCUUGAUCUGUAGACAAAUUUGCUUGCUCACUUUCUAUUGGUUCGGAGAAACCAGUGAUAUUCUUUGGGGGGAAAACCAAGUCCCGGUUUUUAUGGGCUAAAAAACAUAAAUUAAAAAAAUGUUUGUUGAUUUGAAAAAAGUUCAUCAUGGUGAAAGAGUUCACAAAUUUGAAAAAUAAUUUCGUGGAUAUGAAAAUAGUUUGUGAAUUUCGACAAAAGUUCAUGAAUUUUGGAAAUGUCCAUGAGUUUUUAAGAAUUAUUUGUUUUUUUUCAAGAAUUUAGAAAAAUCUUUCCGAAUUCAAAGAAGUUCAUGAAUUUGAAAAUACUUCUGAAUUUGAAAAAGGUCCAGGAAUUAAAAUAAAAAUGAAAAUGAUAAUAAAAACAAUCUGAAAUAAAAAAAGGAAAAUAGGAAAAAAAACAGGGAAAAAUACUAAAAGAGACUAAAUAGAAAAAAGAAGAAAACCAAAAAAGCACACGCACAAUCUUCUAGAAUGUUCACAAAACCUUUUUUUCAGAAACACCGGUAAUUUUAUGCAUACUCAUAACAAUUAAAGGUACACUGAUUUGGAUCUAAGAUCCAAGAAAAUACAAAGUAACUCCGAUGACUAAGUGUUACAAUGACACCUCUUGAAAACACCUUCUUCAAGGUAACAAUCUUUGCUCGAAGAAAUACUUCAAAGACUUCGAUAAAGAUACUGCAAUUGAACUGAAGCAACAAUUUUGUCACUCUUUUACCUACACGAACAUUACCAAUAAUGAUUUUUAAAGGUGCCAUUGUUUCGGGCGUUUUCUCAUGAACCGGGCUGCUGUGGGCCGAGUGGCUGCCGAAGAGCUAUGAUCGGGCUGCUGAUCGUUGAUCUUUUUUUUUAGCCACCGAUGUAGAAGAACACAAAUGUUGCAUGUGACCAACGUGCCUAAAAGAACGUCUUUCAAAAAUAUGUCGUUCAAGGACCUGUAAUAAUAGGCUGUUCAAAAAAGGACAUGAAAUAGUGUUGUGGAGGGAGAGACCCGUGUGUUGUAGCAGAGUGAAACUCGGGCCUGUGUGCUGGACCUUGUAGCAAUGAUGAGGCUUUGGAUAUCAUUUAGCUCUGUUUCCAAGUUACAAAUAAAACAUCCCAAAAAAACUUGUGGCUAACAAGAACUUGUUUAAACUCGUAAAUGUGUGCAUACUACAAUGCAAGUUGAUAUUAGACAUUGAUUGCAUGUACUCCUCCGUCCCAAAAUAAGCGUCUUAAUUUUUACUAGUUCUAAUAUAAAUUUAUACUAAACUCAAGACUAGUGCUGGAAAAAAAGCUCGAAGCUCGCGAGCUAAAUGAGUAGCUCGUGGCUCGGCUCGAAUCGACUCGAACUCGAAGAAUAACGAGUCGAGUCGAGCUUUAGUUUAAGAUCGUUUAUAGACCAAGUUGAACGAGCCAAUCUCACGAGUACUCGUGUAACUCGUUAGGCUCGAUACAAAAGAUCAGCCACUCCCAAAACAAAAAAAAAUCAGCCACUCAGCACUCUAUGUCUCAGGCGCACAACACAAGGCCUAGCCGUUGAAGGCCCAAUCGCCUAGGAGACUCAUGCGUUAUAAGGAAACUAUUAUUGUUUAGUGAUAUAUAUGUUUAAUAUAUACAUAAUCAUUUUUAUAAUAUAUGAGGGUUUUAUGAUCAUAUCUUUAACGAGCUUAACAAGCUAAACGAGCCAGCUCGUGAGUUAUACGAGUCGAGCCAAUCUUGAAUUUGAGCUCGUUAUAAUAACGAGUCGAGUCGAGCUAACUCGUUAACGAAACGAGCUCUAGCGAGUCGAGCCGAGCUGGCUCGACUCGGCUCGAAUUCCAGCCCUACUCAAGACACUUAUUUUGGGACGGACGGAGUAUAUUUUAGCUAGUAGUAGAUAUUAUUUGCGUGUUAAUUAUGUAAUUACCUAACAAAGAUAUUUGGUAUGGUGCAAAUUGCAUGCAUUAGGGCGGAUAUUAUUUCGUAUGGUGCUAAUUGCAUGCAUUACUAUUAUUUACGCAUUAAUUAUGUGAUUGCCACCGAUGUCGAUAAUUUGUAUGAUAUUAAUUAAAUGUUAGGGCAUCUCCAAGGCGGACCCGUAAACCUCAUGUAACCAUUCAGACCGUGCUUUCCGGACCGCGGAAGCCGUCCAACGCCAUCCUUUAUCGGUCCGCGGGACGGUCCAGAAGCGAUUAUCCGGCAAAACGGAGACAAAAGUGUGGGAGGUUUACGAGAGUCCGUACACGCGAAACGUACGAAUCCGACACCCCAGGCCCACCCAAAACCCUUUCCUGACCCCGCGACUCCAUCCUUCCUAUUUUCUCUCCUUCCUCCUUUCUCUUUUGCUGUCACCGCCGCUCCACUACCCCGACCACCACGCCACACCCCUGUCGAAAAUCUGCGUCUGCAUCAAUAAAUUCGGCGCCUAAUUAUAUUUCUUUACGGAGGGAGUACCUUAUUAGAAAUCAUACAUGUUGUGCCGCUUAUUCGAAUAUAUUACCAAAUGUUCUACUUAGACAAUUUUUUUUGCACAAUGACAUUCCAAUGCUUUUUUUUGACAAAAAUGACGUUCCAAUCCUUAUUUAUAUGUCGGUGUCACAUGUGUUAAUUUUGCAACGUAUACAUAACAUUACCCAUUAGGAUUGAGCCUCUAUCUUUACUGUAAGCCCUACGAUAUUUGACAAUCCAUCGUACACCAUUGGACAGUUUGUUUUUUUCAAAGGGCAUCCGAUGCUAUGUAGUUCUAAGCUUAUUUCUAGUUACUCGCAAGACUCCGACAGAGUAUAUCAUGUGGAAUUUCUUGUUCUUAUGGUUAGGAUGAACCGUUGCAACCUCUCGCAAUAAAUAAUUGUGCAAAAAAAAUUAUGAUCAUCACAAUAAUAUUAGGUCUUGGGACCAUGACUUAUUACAUAAUCAGUUUAUCCACUCUACAUAAAGCAGGGGACUCACAUAGACACAUGCAUAUUGGAUACUACAUUAUGGAAGGCGUGCAUGCAUCCCUAACCGAUCACACCCUUAGCUGCACCUGGG
RNAcentral lists this long non-coding RNA (26136 nucleotides) under Triticum aestivum (bread wheat). RNAcentral's name for it is "long non-coding RNA (TAES_LNC003689)". Lineage: Eukaryota; Viridiplantae; Streptophyta; Magnoliopsida; Poales; Poaceae. The record is from RNAcentral.